UCUCUUUGCCGUCUUGGACGAGAUAACAAGUGUAAACCGUGUUUCGUCGUUCGGCAUAAUUACAGAUUUCCAAGAAUCCUAUGAGCUAUAAUAACACGCCUGUUUUGUGUGCGUACUUUUUCUUCGUAUACGUACAGGAAGUUCUCCAGUCAAAAGUAAAACAAAAACAAUCAAGCGAUUGAACUCUCUCAAGGAUUGGAAAGAGAUCUUCAUUCUUUUACAGUAUUUCAGCGAGUAAAAAUCUACGAAAGCGUUGAUUAAUAUCGAUUUAAUUACGUAUUUUAGUAGCAAACAUUUUCAUUCUAAUUUUAUGACAAUUAAUUUAAUAUUAUAAGAAAUUUAUUAUUACAGAAAAUAGUAUAAAAAUAUGUAUAAUUUUUGUUAUUCAUCAUCGAAUUUACUCCUCUCUAGUCAUUGUUUUAUUUUAGAAAAUUUAUUUAAUUUUUAUUAAUAAUUAAGUUUCCGUAAGCAACUAUCUUCAAUAAGAACGUGGGUAAUUUUUCAGAUAUUUGAUAAUGAGCAAAUUGAUAUUGAUAAAAAAUAAUAUAAAGUUAAAGCGGAGCUAUACUAAAUAAUAUAAUUAUAUACAAUUAAUUCUGAAUAAUUUUAUAUUAUACAUUAUUUACAAAUUCGUGAAGUAUA
Vespa velutina is the source of this 642-nucleotide long non-coding RNA. RefSeq lists it as uncharacterized. The record is from RefSeq and is a predicted model, not a curated record. The transcript has 3 exons. NCBI's taxonomy places the organism in Eukaryota, Metazoa, Arthropoda, Insecta, Hymenoptera, Vespidae.